RNAcentral lists this ribosomal RNA (274 nucleotides) under uncultured bacterium. Its description in RNAcentral is "partial 16S ribosomal RNA". It matches the Rfam family "Bacterial small subunit ribosomal RNA", at positions 523 to 796 of the family's 1533-position model. The record is from RNAcentral.
AUACAGAGGGUGCGAGCGUUAUUCGGAAUCACUGGGCGUAAAGGACGCGUAGGCGGGUUGGCAAGUCAGAUGUGAAAUCCUACAGCUUAACUGUAGAACUGCAUUUGAAACUGCUAACCUAGAGUAUGGGAGGGGGAGAUGGAAUUAGUGGUGUAGGGGUAAAAUCCGUAGAUAUCACUAGGAAUACCGAAAGCGAAGGCGAUCUCCUGGAACAUAACUGACGCUAAGGCGUGAAAGCGUGGGGAGCAAACAGGAUUAGAAACCCUAGUAGUCC